This 21-nucleotide microRNA is filed under the name Drosophila virilis. RNAcentral's name for it is "dvi-miR-9544b-3p". Lineage: Eukaryota; Metazoa; Arthropoda; Insecta; Diptera; Drosophilidae. The record is from miRBase by way of RNAcentral.
UUAUAAAAGACCACUGUGCAA